AAUUCGAUUGAGUUUGAUCAUGGCUCAGAACGAACGCUGGCGGCAGGCUUAACACAUGCAAGUCGAACGCACUCUUCGGAGUGAGUGGCAGACGGGUGAGUAACGCGUGGGAACGUACCUUUCGGUUCGGAAUAACCCAGGGAAACUUGAGCUAAGACCGGAUACGCCGGAAACGGGAAAGAUUUAUCGCCGAAAGAUCGGCCCGCGUCGGAUUAGCUAGUUGGUGGGGUAAUGGCCUACCAAGGCGACGAUCCGUAGCUGGUCUGAGAGGAUGAUCAGCCACACUGGGACUGAGACACGGCCCAGACUCCUACGGGAGGCAGCAGUGGGGAAUAUUGGACAAUGGGCGCAAGCCUGAUCCAGCCAUGCCGCGUGAGUGAAGAAGGCCUUAGGGUUGUAAAGCUCUUUCGUUGGGGAAGAUAAUGACGGUACCCAAAGAAGGAGCCCCGGCUAACUUCGUGCCAGCAGCCGCGGUAAUACGAAGGGGGCUAGCGUUGUUCGGAAUUACUGGGCGUAAAGCGCGCGUAGGCGGACAUUUAAGUCAGGGGUGAAAUGCCGGGGCUCAACCUCGGAACUGCCUUUGAUACUGGGUGUCUGGAGUUCGGGAGAGGUGAGUGGAAUUCCGAGUGUAGAGGUGAAAUUCGUAGAUAUUCGGAGGAACACCAGAAGCGAAGGCGGCUCACUGGCCCGAUACUGACGCUGAGGCGCGAAAGC
RNAcentral lists this ribosomal RNA (714 nucleotides) under uncultured bacterium. RNAcentral's name for it is "bacterial SSU rRNA". It matches the Rfam family "Bacterial small subunit ribosomal RNA", at positions 1 to 760 of the family's 1533-position model. The record is from RNAcentral.